This is a non-coding RNA of Prosthecochloris sp. CIB 2401, 191 nucleotides long. NCBI's taxonomy places the organism in Bacteria, Pseudomonadati, Chlorobiota, Chlorobiia, Chlorobiales, Chlorobiaceae. The record is from Rfam.
ACAGUCGGCUCAGCAAUGAUAUCAUGCCAUUUGUUGACAGGCAGCUGUGCGGUUAUGAUCACAGCCUGUUCAGCCAUUGAGCGGCGAAAAUGAGCAAAUCUGGGGAGCCCAUGCCCUCCUAAUAGCAGAAGGCAAUACAGUCGAAGUGCGAUAACGCGAGCACAAGACUGUCCCCACGACGUCAGAGAACC